Molecule: transfer RNA, 68 nt
Filed under: Neurergus derjugini (Kurdistan newt)
Lineage: Eukaryota; Metazoa; Chordata; Amphibia; Caudata; Salamandridae
Description: tRNA-His
Rfam family: tRNA
About the family: Transfer RNA (tRNA) molecules are approximately 80 nucleotides in length. Their secondary structure includes four short double-helical elements and three loops (D, anti-codon, and T loops). Further hydrogen bonds mediate the characteristic L-shaped molecular structure. tRNAs have two regions of fundamental functional importance: the anti-codon, which is responsible for specific mRNA codon recognition, and the 3' end, to which the tRNAs corresponding amino acid is attached (by aminoacyl-tRNA synthetases). tRNAs cope with the degeneracy of the genetic code in two manners: having more than one tRNA (with a specific anti-codon) for a particular amino acid; and 'wobble' base-pairing, i.e. permitting non-standard base-pairing at the 3rd anti-codon position.
Source: RNAcentral
GUGUGUAUAAUUUAAAAAAAUAUUAGAUUGUGAUUCUAAAAAUGAGAGCUAAGCCCUCUCUACCCACC